RNAcentral lists this RNase P RNA (332 nucleotides) under Calorimonas adulescens. Its description in RNAcentral is "Bacterial RNase P class A". It matches the Rfam family "Bacterial RNase P class A". From Rfam's summary of the family: Ribonuclease P (RNase P) is a ubiquitous endoribonuclease, found in archaea, bacteria and eukarya as well as chloroplasts and mitochondria. Its best characterised activity is the generation of mature 5'-ends of tRNAs by cleaving the 5'-leader elements of precursor-tRNAs. Cellular RNase Ps are ribonucleoproteins. Lineage: Bacteria; Bacillati; Bacillota; Clostridia; Thermoanaerobacterales; Thermoanaerobacteraceae. The record is from Rfam by way of RNAcentral.
UGAGCAAGCUGGAUAGUCGCGUGCUCGUGCACGAGGAAAGUCCGAGCUCCAUAGGGCAGGGUGCUGGGUAACGCCCAGCGGAGGCGACUCCGAGGAAAGUGCAACAGAGAUAUACCGCCACGUAAGUGGUAAGGGUGGAAAGGCGAGGUAAGAGCUCACCAGCAGCCAGGUGACUGGCUGGCUCUGCAAACCCCACCUGGAGCAAGGCAAAUAGGAGAGCAUAUGUGGUGGCCCGCCACGCUCUCGGGUAUGCUGCUUGAGGCAGCAGGCAACUGCUGUCCUAGAUAGAUGACUAUCCAAGACAGAACUCGGCUUAUAGGCUUGCUCAACAG